CUUCAUCAUCAUCAUCAUUAACAUCAUCACAGCUGACAUUUACUGAACAUUAGCAAUGUGGUAAGCACUGCAGUAAGAGUUUUCAUGUGUCUACUCAUGUGAUCCUCAAUGGAACCUUAAAGAAGACUACAAUGCCAGCAUCUGGGAUAACUACUAGAAUGUUCUCUGCCAUCCACUAAGCAUUGAAUCCCUCCAGACACUGUUACAACAGUCAAUUCAGUUGACAUUUGUAAAGUUCCAAACUGCUUCCCAAAGUUUGUCAGGUGCUGAAGAUGUACAAAAGUAAAAGGUUGCUUCCCAUAAGAUCACAGUGCUAUGGGGGA
Long non-coding RNA from Pongo pygmaeus (Bornean orangutan), 323 nucleotides. RefSeq lists it as uncharacterized. Lineage: Eukaryota; Metazoa; Chordata; Mammalia; Primates; Hominidae. The record is from RefSeq and is a predicted model, not a curated record. The transcript has 3 exons.